This 253-nucleotide ribosomal RNA is filed under the name uncultured bacterium. RNAcentral describes it as "partial 16S ribosomal RNA". It matches the Rfam family "Bacterial small subunit ribosomal RNA", at positions 524 to 776 of the family's 1533-position model. The record is from RNAcentral.
UACAGAGGGUGCGAGCGUUAAUCGGAAUUACGGGGCGUAAAGCGCACGUAGUCGGCUUUGCAAGUCGGUUGUGAAAUCCCCGGGCUCAACCUGGGAACUGCAUCCGAGACUGCAUGGCUAGAGUAUGGGAGAGGAAAGCGGAAUUUCCGGUGUAGCGGUGAAAUGCGUAGAUAUCGGAAGGAACAUCAGUGGCGAAAGCGACUUCCUGGACCAAUACUGACGCUCAUGUGCGAAAGCGUGGGGAGCAAACAGG